UUUGAUGUUCUACCCUUUUUGAACCUAAGCCUUAAACAGGAUGAAAACCCUUGCUUUGAAAAUCUUUACCUUGAGUUAGGUUGAGAAAUAUUUUGUGGUGUUGAUAAAGGUUCAAGUUUGGGGUUGUUGGGGGAAAUUGAAAGGCAAAAGAAAGGCAUUGAGCUCAAGUGUUGAAUGAAAAAUCAUGAGAAAAGAAAGAAAAGAAAAGAAAAAAGCAUGAAAGGUGAACUUAAUGUAAAAGAAAAGAAAAAGGGGAAAGUUGGAAAUGAGUGAGAUUGGUAAAAAGAGAGUUUUUGCUUGAACUAUGACUGUGUGAAUAACUCUUAACUCAAGGAUUUUGUGAUCUGAAAAACCAAUGUUUCUUGUUUGCCCAGCCACAUUAUAAGCCUUGAAAAAGUCCUUGUGAUGGCAUUUGUGUGUAAUGAUGUUGAUUGUAUUAGAUGAAUGUCAAUUUUGUUUCAUGUGACCGAUGGAUAGUACAGAGAAGAGUGACCUCCUAAAACACUUGAGCGAUUGAGUGAAACACUUUGCUUGGAAAGGAUUAAUGAAUUUCAUG
Molecule: long non-coding RNA, 556 nt
Filed under: Vigna radiata
Lineage: Eukaryota; Viridiplantae; Streptophyta; Magnoliopsida; Fabales; Fabaceae
Description: long non-coding RNA (VRAD_LNC018605)
Source: RNAcentral